GGAAGAUGGCUCAGGGGUAAAGCACCUGCCUAGCGUGCAUGAGGCCCUGGGUUCAAUCCCCAUCACCA
Molecule: transfer RNA, 68 nt
Filed under: Marmota monax (woodchuck)
Lineage: Eukaryota; Metazoa; Chordata; Mammalia; Rodentia; Sciuridae
Description: tRNA.Ala
Source: RNAcentral